GGGGACACCUACCCGGUGGGACAUCAUUCACCCGCUGCUCGGCCAUCGCCACGCACACACACACAGCGCGGACUCCAUACUCGUAUUCCUCAACAUGAACCUCAAGGUUUGUCUGGUAGCAGCUGUGUUGGGCGUGGCCUCUGCCGGGCCCCUCCCCCAGCCUGACGACGCCCCUUCUGCCUACGGCCCGUACUCCGCCCCACAUCCUGAGGAACCCUCGUACGAGCCCCCUUCUUCCUACCCUGCCCGCUACCAGGAGGAACCCUCGUACGCCCCCCACCCACAGACCUACGAGGAGGAUCCACCCAAGCCAUACGCCUUUGAAUACGGCGUGAACGACGGCUACUCCGGCGCCAACUACGGCCACAACGAAAACUCUGACGGGCAGGAGGUGGUCGGGUCCUACCAGGUGGACCUCCCCGACGGCCGCACCCAGAUUGUCUCCUACAAGGCCGACCACUACAAUGGCUUCCAGGCCCAAGUCGAGUACAAGGGUGAGGCCCAGUACCCCGAAACUCAAGAAUACCAGCCAGGAUACCCAGCACCAUCAUACCCCGCCCCAGCACCAUCAUACCCCGCCCCAUCACCUUCAUACUCACCCCAAGAGCCAGUCUAUGAUGCCCCAGUUCAGUCAUACCCUGAGGAGCCAGCUCCAGUCGAGUAUAACUAAAGGGGUAUGCGACUCGCCACUCCGAUAUACCCACAUUAAAAGGACCCGUCUAUAAAGUUCCUACCCCGAUUGAGUAUAACGAAGAAUAUACAAAACGUCCCUCCGAUAUAACCCAUACCUGGCACCCUCCUAGAAGCACGCUCUGGUCGAGUAUAACUUGAAGUAUCCCAACAACUCAUCAACCCCACCAAUGGCUGGCCACUAGACCUAACCACGAACAAGACGUAGGUGGACGGCCGAUCAAUGGCAGCUCAAUGUGUGGCCUUAGGCACCCCUACCCUCCACCCCCUCCUCACGUAGAGUAACUUUCCCCAGGAGGACCAAUGCCCAAUAAGGGUUACCCCCCUAAAGAUCACUUCAUCAUGAGGAUCACUUGUCCAUGACAACCGCUUCCUCGUGAGGAUCAACACCCCAUAAGGACCGCUGCUUCACGUGGGUCACGACCCAAUGAGGAUCACUGCUCAAUAAGGACUCCAGGUAUAGUUCAAUACUACGGGAUCACCUCACUCAGGAUUACUUCCUUGUGUGGAUCACUUCCCCCAAGAGGACUCCCCCUCCCCAGGUGGACACAUCUCGCAGGUCGAGGCCACCACUAGUCACUAUAAGAUUGUUGUUUGUGCCAUCCUGCACUCCACCGUAAUAACACAUACAUGUCUGCAUAAAA
This 1334-nucleotide unclassified non-coding RNA is filed under the name Homarus americanus (American lobster). RNAcentral describes it as "adhesive plaque matrix protein-like, transcript variant X1". Lineage: Eukaryota; Metazoa; Arthropoda; Malacostraca; Decapoda; Nephropidae. The record is from RNAcentral.